GAUGAACGCUGGCGGCGUGCCUAAUACAUGCAAGUCGAGCGAACAGACGAGGAGCUUGUUCCUCUGACGUUAGCGGCGCACGGGCGAGUAACGCGUGGAUAACAUACCUAAAUGACUGGGAUAAUCUCGGGAAACGGGAGCUAAUACCGGAUAAUAUAUUGAACCGUAUGGUUCGAUAGUGAAAGACGGUUUUGGUGGCACGUAUAGGUGGAUCCGCGCCGCAUUAGCUAGUUGGUAAGGUGACGGCUUACCACGGCAACGAUGCGUAGCCGACCUGAGAGGAUGAUAGGCCCCACUGGAACUGGGACACAUUCCAGUCUGCUGCGGGAAGCAGCAGUAGGGCAUCGUACGCACUGGGCGAAAGCAUUACAGAGCCACGCCGCGCGAGUGAUGUAGGUCUUCGGAUCGUAAGACUCUGUUAUUAGGGAAGAACAAAUGUGUAAGUAACUCUUCAUGUCUUGACGGUACUUAGUCAGGAAGCCACGGCUAACUACGUG
RNAcentral lists this ribosomal RNA (497 nucleotides) under uncultured bacterium. RNAcentral's name for it is "partial 16S ribosomal RNA". It matches the Rfam family "Bacterial small subunit ribosomal RNA", at positions 28 to 507 of the family's 1533-position model. The record is from RNAcentral.